RNAcentral lists this ribosomal RNA (1055 nucleotides) under Limosilactobacillus fermentum. RNAcentral describes it as "bacterial SSU rRNA". It matches the Rfam family "Bacterial small subunit ribosomal RNA", at positions 45 to 1057 of the family's 1533-position model. The record is from RNAcentral. Lineage: Bacteria; Bacillati; Bacillota; Bacilli; Lactobacillales; Lactobacillaceae.
UGCUAUACAUGCAGUCGAACGCGUUGGCCCAGAUUGAUUGAUGGUGCUUGCACCUGAUUGAUUUUGGUCGCCAACGAGUGGCGGACGGGUGAGUAACACGUAGGUAACCUGCCCAGAAGCGGGGGACAACAUUUGGAAACAGAUGCUAAUACCGCAUAACAACGUUGUUCGCAUGAACAACGCUUAAAAGAUGGCUUCUCGCUAUCACUUCUGGAUGGACCUGCGGUGCAUUAGCUUGUUGGUGGGGUAACGGCCUACCAAGGCGAUGAUGCAUAGCCGAGUUGAGAGACUGAUCGGCCACAAUGGGACUGAGACACGGCCCAUACUCCUACGGGAGGCAGCAGUAGGGAAUCUUCCACAAUGGGCGCAAGCCUGAUGGAGCAACACCGCGUGAGUGAAGAAGGGUUUCGGCUCGUAAAGCUCUGUUGUUAAAGAAGAACACGUAUGAGAGUAACUGUUCAUACGUUGACGGUAUUUAACCAGAAAGUCACGGCUAACUACGUGCCAGCAGCCGCGGUAAUACGUAGGUGGCAAGCGUUAUCCGGAUUUAUUGGGCGUAAAGAGAGUGCAGGCGGUUUUCUAAGUCUGAUGUGAAAGCCUUCGGCUUAACCGGAGAAGUGCAUCGGAAACUGGAUAACUUGAGUGCAGAAGAGGGUAGUGGAACUCCAUGUGUAGCGGUGGAAUGCGUAGAUAUAUGGAAGAACACCAGUGGCGAAGGCGGCUACCUGGUCUGCAACUGACGCUGAGACUCGAAAGCAUGGGUAGCGAACAGGAUUAGAUACCCUGGUAGUCCAUGCCGUAAACGAUGAGUGCUAGGUGUUGGAGGGUUUCCGCCCUUCAGUGCCGGAGCUAACGCAUUAAGCACUCCGCCUGGGGAGUACGACCGCAAGGUUGAAACUCAAAGGAAUUGACGGGGGCCCGCACAAGCGGUGGAGCAUGUGGUUUAAUUCGAAGCUACGCGAAGAACCUUACCAGGUCUUGACAUCUUGCGCCAACCCUAGAGAUAGGGCGUUUCCUUCGGGAACGCAAUGACAGGUGGUGCAUGGUCGUCGUCA